UCCAGUUAAGUUAACAGCGAGUCGGUCAGAGAUCAUAGAGACGGCCUCAGUUAUCCUGACCUGUGAGGGUCGGCGUAGUUCACGCUGUUUUUUAUACACUCCAAGUGGAGGAACGGUUCAGGACUUCUCCUGUACCCAGACCUUUACUGGAACUGAGCUGCUGCAGAUGGCAAAAUGUUCUUCACCUGCUGACGUUGGAUUGAGGUGCUGCUUCCCCGAUCAGCCUGAAUCAUGUUCUCACUACAGUGACAUGAUCUCCGUCAAUGUACAACAUUAUAACAAAGUCACAGCUGCAUCCAAGCCUCACAUCACCAAGUUCAACCCAAACAUUUGACUGCAGUGAUGUGAUCCAAGAUGGAUGCCAGAGUUUAGAGACAUUUUAGAGAUGUUGCCCGUCUUAUUUCAGCUUGACAGCACACAAAAGUAAGUUUGUUUUUUAAUUUGCAGCUGUUCCUGCACCUGAAUUUACCGUGAAUCCAGCAGUGAUCACAGAAACAGACACAGUCACACUGACCUGCACGGCUCCUUCAUCUGUUUCUGUCUCUACAUGUUAUUUAUUCAUUCUGUUUGAAUCAAGAAGAUUUGAGAGAAACAUUUCCUGUCAUCAGACGCUAAGAGGAGCUGAACUGCUACAAAUGGUAAACAUGGAAAGUCGAAGACUUCCUGCUGAGGUUAAAGUGAACUGUCGGUACAGAACUGAACCUGGACAUGUGCUUUCUGAAUAUGGGAAUCCAUCAUCCAUCCUCAUUCAAGAUGAAGCAGAGAAAAAAACUGAUUUAACAACCUUCAUUCCCAGCAGAACUUCAACUGGACCCACAAGCAAAAC
Molecule: non-coding RNA, 826 nt
Organism: Poecilia reticulata (guppy)
Lineage: Eukaryota; Metazoa; Chordata; Actinopteri; Cyprinodontiformes; Poeciliidae
Source: RefSeq, a predicted model, not a curated record